Molecule: long non-coding RNA, 2686 nt
Organism: Syngnathoides biaculeatus (alligator pipefish)
Lineage: Eukaryota; Metazoa; Chordata; Actinopteri; Syngnathiformes; Syngnathidae
Exons: 3
Source: RefSeq, a predicted model, not a curated record
UGUUUAGUGUACAUUAUUCAUAAGGGCGCAGCAAUUUUUGAAGACAUUUGUAAGUGAAAUGCUAACACAAGUGUUUUGGGAUCAUAGUUUGUGGCAUCAAUUAGUUGCUUGAAUUCGCUGUUGGGGGCGGGGCUCGGACUCGGUCCUACGAAGAGCCGGGGCGUCCUCUGUACACUUUGUGACGACGAGGGGUGCAACGAAUACCACAUGACUGAAACGAUUUUGUACUGGAGCCUUUUAAUAUAGAUGAAAGCGCUUUCUGCAGCAGUAAUUCAAGACAAAUCCGCGAUCCCUCACAGCAAACGAGCUACUAGGACACAAAUUCGAUCCUUCACGGCCAGAUGUUUCCUUUUCAUACCUGUGUUUUACUCGGAGGGCAACAUAUUCACUUAAACGUGAAAGAAAUAUGCAAAUGGCGUCCUUUCAACUCGGCAAUCCAUAAUGUUCCGGCUUUGAUGCCGCGAGCCGGAUGGUAACCGCGAACUGGCGCGAUCUGGCUGGCCGCGCUAAACACGCCACAUGUAGCGCAUGCUAAAACCACAUGCGGCCUUUUUUUUUUUUUUGGGCUGCAGAGACGCUACAGCGGCAGCCAAUCAAUAAGACCUUGUUACACUAAUUGCAAGAUCGUAAUCUCCGAUUCCUACUUCUGCUGAAUAUCCAAACAGUCAGUCCAUUAGCGGAAUUAUUCCCCCGUGCAGCUCAUCCGACUCGCUCGGCCUCCUCCCUUCCAUUUGCUCAUUUUCCUCCCCCCACCUUAUGACAUAUUCCUCUCAAACGGCAGUCUUGUUAAACGGAUUCAUAAGUCAGGGAGGAAGACAUCAAAGCGAAGAAUCGUCAAGGUUUGAGGGCGACUGCCACCGUUGCCUGUUGACCCUGUCGAAGACCACCAUUCACACCUACGGACAAUUUAGAGCAGGGGUCACCAACGCAGUGCCCGCGGGCAAAUGGUAGCCCGCGAGGACCAUAUAAGGCGCCUGCGAGGUUCAUCAAUCACAGCGCUCAACACAGUGGAAGAAAGCAGACUUGGAAAGAGGGAUGAACGCUGGAUGGAUAAUGCCCACGGAUGGAAGGACGGAGGUGAAACGCUGCAGCGAAGACGUUGCGAGCGAGGCGAGGAACGAACAACACCACAGACGCUUCUUUGCAGGGAAAUACAUGGUUGGCCGCGUGACAAAACAAAAUGGCAGAUAUGCGGCACACGGUGGCCUGUUUGCGUACGGCACAAAAAAAAAAAACAAAACACGAUGCGCGAAGUGUUGAGAAGUAACAGAGAAAAUGUCAGUUAGGGGAAAAAAAAAGACAAUAUGUAUCUCUCACGAUUGGCGAGCUGAAUGGCGUUGAGCUCGUGAGAAAACAAAACAAAACACGGAUGACACAAAUUCACGCCCCUGCGCGUCGCACGGUCAACAAACUCGGAGCCCGUCGUGUUUAAACGACUUCAAAUAAACAAAACAAGUGUAUUUACUUGCUCCUCCUCCAUUAUCUUGCUGCCUCACACCCAGUUAUGAAGCACAUUUGUCACUUGAAAGCAGCUUUGUUCAGAAAUUCCACGCCCCAAAAAAAAACAAAAAAACUGCAUUUGGGCCAAUAAAGACCUCCCCGGCGCUGUUUGACAGGAGCGUGCAAAGAGACAGCGGUCCAAAUAAAUACCGGUGUCAGGACCGCGCUCAUGUGAGCAGUCACAGUGACGAGAUGCAUGCGUGCGUGCAUAACCAAACCGGGAGAGUAAAUGGGGGGUGGGGGGGGGGGGAGAUAUGGAUUUCCUUUGUGAAUAUAUCCACCGCUGCAGUUCACCUCUGUGUGUGUGCGUUCCUUUUGUGCUCGUUCACUGCAAUAUAUUCUCCGUAAACACCGACACACUGUUUGUGUAAUCGGACCUGACCAAUAAUACACAACGCUGAUCCCAGCCGGACGAACAGAACACUUCCUGUGAUGCCCCCCCCAACCCCCCAUAGACAGAGCCACACCCACGGGCCCUCCUACAAAUAUGUACCGCAUUAGUUUUAAUCCAGAAAAAAAUAUAUAUGAUUAAAGAAAUAAAAAUUACAUCCAAGUUAAAAAUAAGUCAAUGUAGAUACAAAAUAGACCAAAAAAAUUACAUGAAAAAAAGUGUUAAGGCGACAAAAAGGAGUCUUUAAAAUUAUUAUUUAGAAAACUAGAAACCUAAAUAUGAUUGUAACAAAAUAGCUGUCAAGUGAUCUUUUUUUGUGGCCCAUACUGUUUAAAAACUGAUUUGAACAAAAGUGACGUGAAUGAGAAAAUGUAUUCAUCACCCAAUAAAAUGUAAUAAAAACAACACUAAUUGUAAAUAUAACAAACCUAAUAAAUACAGGAUGAAUAUGGUGAACAAAGUUGGAAAAAAAAAAAAAAAAGGUGGCACGGUAGCGGAGCUGUAGAGCGUUGGCCUCACAGUUCUGAGCUCCAGGGUUCGAUCCCGGCCCCGCAAAUGUGGAGUUUGCAAGUUUUCCCCGUGCCUGCGUCGGUUUUCUCCGGGUGGGCACUCCGGUUUCCUCCCACAUUACGAAAACAUGCACCAUUAAUUGGACACUCUAAAUUGCCCCUAGGUGUGAUUGGGAGUGCGGCUGUUUGUCUCAAUGUGCCCUGCGAUUGGCUGGCGACCAGUGCAGGGUCCUGCCCGAAAAUAGCUGGGAUAGGCACCAGCACUCCUGAUACCCUUGUGAGGAUA